UCAGUUAGCUCUGGAGAGCGGCCAAUAUUUUAGUGGUCCACCGAAGAGGAAAGAGGGCGAUAGCUAAGUGGCUCUUAAACUUUCAGGUUUUGGACAGAGGGGCGGCA
RNAcentral lists this non-coding RNA (107 nucleotides) under Cycloclasticus sp. symbiont of Poecilosclerida sp. M. RNAcentral describes it as "Glycine riboswitch aptamer". It matches the Rfam family "Glycine riboswitch aptamer". From Rfam's summary of the family: This family represents the bacterial glycine riboswitch. Glycine riboswitches usually consist of two metabolite-binding aptamers domains with similar structures in tandem. The aptamers cooperatively bind glycine to regulate the expression of downstream genes. The record is from Rfam by way of RNAcentral. Lineage: Bacteria; Pseudomonadati; Pseudomonadota; Gammaproteobacteria; Thiotrichales; Piscirickettsiaceae. RNAcentral also lists the same sequence under 1 other name.